Molecule: long non-coding RNA, 307 nt
Filed under: Gossypium barbadense (sea-island cotton)
Lineage: Eukaryota; Viridiplantae; Streptophyta; Magnoliopsida; Malvales; Malvaceae
Description: long non-coding RNA (GBAR_LNC001386)
Source: RNAcentral
ACAUGACCGGAUCACACGCCCAUGGGGUAGACUAUGUGUCACACACGGCCUAGACACAUGCCCAUGUGUCUACCCGUGUAGACAAAUUCUAGGCUAAUUUCCAAGCCAUUUGCCACCCUUAAAUGCUUACUCACUUAUACAUUUUUUAUGACAUGCAACAUAGCAUAUUUAGUCACUCAAAUACUCACAAUCAUGAUUAAUCCAUAACAUUGUAAUGUCAACAUAUCACAUGCUCAAACCAUCAUGCUUUCAUAUGGCAUUCCACACCAAUUUCAUAUUUAUUCAUCCUUAUAAACCUACCUUCAAC